AUUGAACGCUGGCGGCAGGCCUAACACAUGCAAGUCGAGCGGUAGCACAGAGAGCUUGCUCUCGGGUGACGAGCGGCGGACGGGUGAGUAAUGUCUGGGAAACUGCCUGAUGGAGGGGGAUAACUACUGGAAACGGUAGCUAAUACCGCAUAACGUCGCAAGACCAAAGAGGGGGACCUUCGGGCCUCUUGCCAUCAGAUGUGCCCAGAUGGGAUUAGCUAGUAGGUGGGGUAACGGCUCACCUAGGCGACGAUCCCUAGCUGGUCUGAGAGGAUGACCAGCCACACUGGAACUGAGACACGGUCCAGACUCCUACGGGAGGCAGCAGUGGGGAAUAUUGCACAAUGGGCGCAAGCCUGAUGCAGCCAUGCCGCGUGUAUGAAGAAGGCCUUCGGGUUGUAAAGUACUUUCAGCGGGGAGGAAGGUGCUGAGGUUAAUAACCUCAGCAAUUGACGUUACCCGCAGAAGAAGCACCGGCUAACUCCGUGCCAGCAGCCGCGGUAAUACGGAGGGUGCAAGCGUUAAUCGGAAUUACUGGGCGUAAAGCGCACGCAGGCGGUCUGUCAAGUCAGAUGUGAAAUCCCCGGGCUCAACCUGGGAAC
This 602-nucleotide ribosomal RNA is filed under the name uncultured bacterium. Its description in RNAcentral is "bacterial SSU rRNA". It matches the Rfam family "Bacterial small subunit ribosomal RNA", at positions 28 to 621 of the family's 1533-position model. The record is from RNAcentral.